RNAcentral lists this ribosomal RNA (496 nucleotides) under uncultured bacterium. Its description in RNAcentral is "partial 16S ribosomal RNA". It matches the Rfam family "Bacterial small subunit ribosomal RNA", at positions 29 to 507 of the family's 1533-position model. The record is from RNAcentral.
AUGAACGCUGGCGGCGUGCCUAAUACAUGCAAGUCGAGCGAACGGACGAGAAGCUUGCUUCUCUGAUGUUAGCGGCGGACGGGUGAGUAACGCGUGGAUAACCUACCUAUAAGACUGGGAUAACUUCGGGAAACCGUAGCUAAUACCGGAUAAUAUUUUGAACCGCAUGGUUCAAAAGUGAAAGACGGUCUUGCUGUCACUUAUAGAUGGAUCCGCGCUGCAUUAGCUAGUUGGUAAGGUAACGGCUUACCAAGGCAACGAUGCAUAGCCGACCUGAGAGGGUGAUCGGCCACACUGGAACUGAGACACGGUCCAGACUCCUACGGGAGGCAGCAGUAGGGAAUCUUCCGCAAUGGGCGAAAGCCUGACGGAGCAACGCCGCGUGAGUGAUGAAGGUCUUCGGAUCGUAAAACUCUGUUAUUAGGGAAGAACAUAUGUGUAAGUAACUGUGCACAUCUUGACGGUACCUAAUCAGAAAGCCACGGCUAACUACGUG